GCUAGCGUGGUGUAGUGGUUUGAACAUUGGACUAUGACUCUGGAGACUGGGUUCGAUUCCCACCUCAGCC
Phrynosoma platyrhinos (Desert horned lizard) is the source of this 70-nucleotide non-coding RNA. Lineage: Eukaryota; Metazoa; Chordata; Lepidosauria; Squamata; Phrynosomatidae. The record is from the annotation of a GenBank genome assembly.